AUGAAACUAAAGGGAUUUGUGCUUGCUGAGUAAGAGCUUCUACAAGGAUUCCCCAGGAUCAACCAUCUGAGCAGAUACCUUGGAAUGUCCCCAGAUUUCAGAGACCUUCCUUUCAGCCUCGGACCAGCAGCAACACACUCUGAAGUAGGUCUCAGAAGACAAAAAGCUGAAAUCAACUCAUGCUUCCUGCUACACAGAAUCCACUGAGAGGAAAAGGAAACUUCACCGAAACUUCAGAAAGCUACAGAAAUGACAUCCAUUUUCACAAUCCCAGAAGGAAAGAUGCAUCUGAAGGGAAUAAAAACAGAGCAAUGGAAGAGUAUUUGUUAAAAUAAAUGGCUUUGACAGGGCAU
Molecule: long non-coding RNA, 353 nt
Filed under: Homo sapiens (human)
Lineage: Eukaryota; Metazoa; Chordata; Mammalia; Primates; Hominidae
Description: non-protein coding lnc-TMEM206-5:5
Source: RNAcentral